UACGUAGGGGGCAAGCGUUGUCCGGAUUUAUUGGGCGUAAAGAGCGUGUAGGCGGCUAGGUAGGUCCGUUGUGAAAACUCGAGGCUCAACCUCGAGACGCCGAUGGAAACCAUCUAGCUAGAGUCCGGAAGAGGAGAGUGGAAUUCCUGGUGUAGCGGUGAAAUGCGUAGAUAUCGUAAGGAAGACCAGUGGCGAAGGCGGGUCUCUGGACAGUUCCUGACGCUGAGGCACGAAGGUCAGGGGAGCAAACGGG
RNAcentral lists this ribosomal RNA (253 nucleotides) under uncultured bacterium. RNAcentral describes it as "partial 16S ribosomal RNA". It matches the Rfam family "Bacterial small subunit ribosomal RNA", at positions 524 to 776 of the family's 1533-position model. The record is from RNAcentral.